Molecule: ribosomal RNA, 1409 nt
Filed under: Albibacter methylovorans
Lineage: Bacteria; Pseudomonadati; Pseudomonadota; Alphaproteobacteria; Hyphomicrobiales; Methylopilaceae
Description: 16S ribosomal RNA
Rfam family: Bacterial small subunit ribosomal RNA
Source: RNAcentral
CUGGCUCAGAACGAACGCUGGCCGCAGGCUUAACACAUGCAAGUCGAGCGCAUCCUUCGGGGUGAGCGGCAGACGGGUGAGUAACGCGUGGGGAUGUGCCUGGUGGUACGGAACAACUCAUGGAAACGUGAGCUAAUACCGUAUAAGCCCUUUUGGGGAAAGAUUUAUCGCCACCAGAUCAACCCGCGUUGGAUUAGCUAGUUGGUGAGGUAACGGCUCACCAAGGCGACGAUCCAUAGCUGGUCUGAGAGGAUGAUCAGCCACACUGGGACUGAGACACGGCCCAGACUCCUACGGGAGGCAGCAGUGGGGAAUAUUGGACAAUGGGCGCAAGCCUGAUCCAGCCAUGCCGCGUGAGUGAUGAAGGCCUUNGGGUUGUAAAGCUCUUGCACUGGGGAAGAUAAUGACGGUACCCAGAGAAGAAGCCCCGGCUAACUUCGUGCCAGCAGCCGCGGUAAUACGUUGGGGGCUAGCGUUGUUCGGAAUCACUGGGCGUAAAGCGCACGUAGGCGGACUUUUAAAUCAGGGGUGAAAUUCCAAGGCUCAACCUUGGAACUGCCUUUGAUCCUGGAAGUCUUGAGUUGUUCGGGAGGUGGUGGAACUGCGAGUGUANNGGUGAAAUUCGUAGAUAUUCGCAAGAACACCAGUGGCGAAGGCGGCACACUGGCCCGAUACUNACGCUNAGGUGCGAAAGCGUGGGGAGCAAACANGAUUAGAUACCCUGGUAGUCCANGCCGUAAACGAUGGACRCUAGCCGUUGGCAGCAUGCUGGUCAGUGGCGCAKAUAACGCUUUAAGCUNCCCGCCUGGGGAGUACGGNCGCAAGAUUAAAACUCAAANNAAUUGACGGGGGNNNNNNNCAAGCGGUGGAGNAUGUGGUUUAAUUCGAANNAACGCGCAGAACCUUACCAGCCUUUGACAUCCUGUGACAUCCAGAGAGAUUUGGGGUUCCCUCUGGGGACGCAGAGACAGGUGCUGCAUGGCUGUCGUCAGCHCGUGUCGUGAGAUAUUGGGUUAAGUCCCGCAACGAGCGCAANCUUCGCCCCUAGUUGCCAGCAUUAAGUUGGGCACUCUAGGGGGACUGCCGGUGAUAAGCCGCGAGGAAGGUGAAGAUGACGUCAAGUCCUCAUNNNNNNUACGNGGCUGGGCUACACACGUGCUACAAUGGCGGUGACARUGGGCAGCGAAGGGGUGACCCGGAGCUAAUCUCCAAAAGCCGUCUCAGUUCGGAUUGCACUCUGCAACUCGAGUGCAUGAAGUUGGAAUCGCUGGUAAUCGUGGAUCAGCAUGCCGCGGUGAAUACGUUCCCGGGCCUUGUACACACCGCCCGUCACACGAUGGGAGUUGGUUUUACCCGAAGCGNGCGCUAACCUGGCGACGAGGAGGCAGGCGACCACGGUGGGGUCAGCG